AUUGAACGCUGGCGGCAUGCCUAACACAUGCAAGUCGAGCGGACGGCGGCAGGGUGCUCCUGGAUUGAGCGGGGGAGUGGCGAGUAAGGGCGAGGAAUGUGCGUGGUAUUCGGGGAUAACGUCCGUAAACGUGGGCUAAUACCGCAUAUGUCCUGAGGGAGAAAGGAGCAGAUGUUCGGACGUGGCGCUGUCAGAUGAGCCUUGGGCGGAUUAGCUAGUUGGUGGGGUAAAGGCCUACCAAGGCGACGAUCCGUAACUGGUCUGAGAGGAUGAUCAGUCACACUGGAACUGAGACACGGUCCAGACUCCUACGGGAGGCAGCAGUGGGGAAUAUUGGACAAUGGGCGAAAGCCUGAUCCAGCAAUGCCGCGUGUGUGAAGAAGGUCUUCGGAUUGUAAAGCACUUUAAGUUGGGAGGAAGGGCAGUAAGUUAAUCCCUUGCUGUUUUGACGUUACCAACAGAAUAAGCACCGGCUAACUUCGUG
RNAcentral lists this ribosomal RNA (484 nucleotides) under uncultured bacterium. Its description in RNAcentral is "partial 16S ribosomal RNA". It matches the Rfam family "Bacterial small subunit ribosomal RNA", at positions 30 to 507 of the family's 1533-position model. The record is from RNAcentral.